RNAcentral lists this ribosomal RNA (253 nucleotides) under uncultured bacterium. Its description in RNAcentral is "partial 16S ribosomal RNA". It matches the Rfam family "Bacterial small subunit ribosomal RNA", at positions 524 to 776 of the family's 1533-position model. The record is from RNAcentral.
UACGUAGGGGGCAAGCGUUGUCCGGAUUUACUGGGCGUAAAGCGCCUGUAGGCGGCCUGUCAAGUCCGGCCUGAAAGCCCCCCGCUCAACGGGGGAGGGUGGCUGGAAACUGGCAGGCUUGAGGGCGAGAGAGGAGGGUGGAAUUCCUGGUGUAGCGGUGAAAUGCGCAGAUAUCAGGAAGAACACCCGUGGCGAAAGCGGCUCUCUGGAACGGUACUGACGCUGAGACGCGAAAGCGUAGGGAGCGAACAGG